CUUUCUUCCUCCUUCUCCUCCUUCUUUCUCCUUCCUUCUUCUCCUCCCUUCUUUCUUCUUUCUUUUUCUUACAGGACCUUGGGUGAAAAGUUGGACUUUCGAGGGGUUAUUCCUUUAUGGAUGUGCCUCUUCUGGAGAAUUUCAUAGCAGACAAUGUUGGAGUUGUUUAUAUUUAAAUCUCUUGAGGGAUGUUUUCAAUUUCUGGUUUCAUUUCUAACUUGAAGAAUUUUUUUUAUGCACUGGUAUGCUACUGAUCACUUAAAAUUCAAUGGACAUUCGCCAUUUGUAGUAAUUUUGAACUGAACUCUGAAAUUUAAAUUUCACAGUGCAGGAUCCAUGCAACCUGUAUUCUGCAUCCUGAGAUACAUGGAAUACAACCUGGAUUUUAUGAGACACCUUACCUCAGUGGAAGACAGAGACAGGAAAUUAGAAAUGCUUGAGCAUUCCCUUUAAAUAUUAAAGGAAUGGUUGAGUAGUUACUGUUCAAUUUCUGAAGAAAAUGAAGACAAACUGAGUAUGUGUGAAAUGGAGUACAGUGUCACUUCCAGACCCUACACAGACCCAGAGGACAUUUAUCAGACAGGUCAAGAGGCUGCACUGUUGCCCGUGUCUGAGCCCACCCAUAACUUCCAUCUUGGUGGCCUUAUGUGGGUGAAGAGGAUGCUAACCCAGAGCCAGAGGCCAACAUAGAAAGGCCCAUACCCUGUGAUCCUUACCACUUCUACAUCAGUGAAGGUUGCCACUGUCACCCUGUGUACCCAUCACACCCAGCUGGAGGAGACUACAAAAGAUAAUGGAGAUGUUUUGUCACCAGGGUCCAUUAACUUCCAAGGACAUGGCAAUAGAAUUUUCCCUGGAGGAAUGGGAAUGCCUGAACUCUGCUAAGAGGACUUUGUACUGGGUUGUCAUGUUGAAGAACUACAACAAUCUGGUCUC
Molecule: non-coding RNA, 936 nt
Organism: Myodes glareolus (Bank vole)
Lineage: Eukaryota; Metazoa; Chordata; Mammalia; Rodentia; Cricetidae
Source: RefSeq, a predicted model, not a curated record